This 412-nucleotide unclassified non-coding RNA is filed under the name Helichrysum alsinoides. Its description in RNAcentral is "partial external transcribed spacer". Lineage: Eukaryota; Viridiplantae; Streptophyta; Magnoliopsida; Asterales; Asteraceae. The record is from RNAcentral.
UCGUAAAGGGUGCANGAGUGGUGUUUGGUUUGUUACGGGUGGUUGGCUCUUUGCUUUUGCACGAACUUCCACCUGGCAUACCUCUUCAGUCUUGUGUCAAUGCUUGUAUUGCAUUGAAUGACGGGUUUCUUGUGUUGCAUGCCUAGUUAAUGGUAUCGUUUGAUGAAUUGGUUUCCUUUUUCGUCUUGCCUCGCCUACGCGAUGUGUGAUGAACCUUGAAGCAGCCUUUGUGAUCCACACUUUUUGAUGCAUACGCAUUGAUGUUGUGGCCCAUUAAGUGUUGCUUGGUCUCAUGGAUAUGGAACCUGGUGUGGGCAUGGAAUCUUAAUGGUUCUUUGUUUGCCCAAGUUAAGCUUUUCUGAAACGAUCGUCUAUCAUGUGUUAACGUGGUAGACUACAUCGAAUAUGAAUG